CAGUCGAACGGACUUUUCAUGAAGCCUAGCGAUUGAAAAGUUAGUGGCGGACGGGUGAGUAACGCGUGGGUAACCUGCCUUGUACUGGGGGACAACAGUUGGAAACGACUGCUAAUACCGCAUAAGCGCACAGCUUCGCAUGAAGCAGUGUGAAAAACUCCGGUGGUACAAGAUGGACCCGCGUCUGAUUAGCUGGUUGGUGAGGUAACGGCCCACCAAGGCGACGAUCAGUAGCCGGCCUGAGAGGGUGAACGGCCACAUUGGGACUGAGACACGGCCCAAACUCCUACGGGAGGCAGCAGUGGGGAAUAUUGCACAAUGGGGGAAACCCUGAUGCAGCAACGCCGCGUGAGUGAAGAAGUAUUUCGGUAUGUAAAGCUCUAUCAGCAGGAAAGAAAAUGACGGUACCUGACUAAGAAGCCCCGGCUAACUACGUGCCAGCAGCCGCGGUAAUACGUAGGGGGCAAGCGUUAUCCGGAUUUACUGGGUGUAAAGGGAGCGUAGACGGUUUUGCAAGUCUGAAGUGAAAGCCCGGGGCUUAACCCCGGGACUGCUUUGGAAACUGUAGAACUAGAGUGCAGGAGAGGUAAGUGGAAUUCCUAGUGUAGCGGUGAAAUGCGUAGAUAUUAGGAGGAACACCAGUGGCGAAGGCGGCUUACUGGACG
This 665-nucleotide ribosomal RNA is filed under the name uncultured bacterium. Its description in RNAcentral is "bacterial SSU rRNA". It matches the Rfam family "Bacterial small subunit ribosomal RNA", at positions 59 to 735 of the family's 1533-position model. The record is from RNAcentral.